GUGAAUCAUCAAAUCUUUGAACGCAAAUUGCACUCCCUGGUAUUCCGGGGAGUAUGCCUGUUUGAGGGUCGUUAGAAUAAAAAAUCGAUGCGUCGCUCUUUUUUUUAAGGGUGAUCGCGUCAGAAUUGAGCCUUCUUUCAAAUGUUACUUCAUGUCAAAGUGGCUUGACAUUCAUCCAUCCGUUACGAUUGAAUCGUAUUUACGAUCAAUUUUGAUUGAGACCGCGCGAUGACGUACCAUCUAAUGUAGAACGUUUGAACUUAGUCAUCA
Molecule: unclassified non-coding RNA, 270 nt
Filed under: Glomeraceae sp.
Lineage: Eukaryota; Fungi; Glomeromycota; Glomeromycetes; Glomerales; Glomeraceae
Description: partial contains 5.8S ribosomal RNA and internal transcribed spacer 2
Rfam family: 5.8S ribosomal RNA (bases 1-71)
Source: RNAcentral